Long non-coding RNA from Apus apus (common swift), 922 nucleotides. RefSeq lists it as uncharacterized. NCBI's taxonomy places the organism in Eukaryota, Metazoa, Chordata, Aves, Apodiformes, Apodidae. The record is from RefSeq and is a predicted model, not a curated record. The transcript is spliced from 3 exons.
AAGCAAGGCAUGUGUGCUAUUGAAGGUUGAAGUGCUUAUGUGAGGAAACUCCUUCAAAAAACCCACAGAAAUGAAAAUCUAAAUAAUUGUAUCUGUCAAACCCAGCACAGAGAUGAACACCCUUCAGGCUCUCUGCUGCUCCGUGCUCGGGAAUUCAUCUUCAUUACCUUUGCAGAGGACAGUCUGCAACUCCUAAUUAGAAGAUGGAAUUUUUGGUUCUUACUGGUCUCAGCCUGUAUUUGUAAACUAUGUAGCACUUCUGAGACCACAGGUGGAAUACUGGGUCCAGUUUGGGGUUUUCCCAAUACAAGACACACGUUGGCAAACUACACUGAGUCCAGCAGAAGGCCAACAAGACGGUUACAAGGGAUCUCCAGAGGUCCCUUCCAACUUAAAUUAGUCCACGAUUCUGCAAACGAGCAGCUGUGAAAGAAGUGGAAGAGAAGGAACACUGAUUCUUUGAGCCAGGAUUGUUGCUAAAGCCCUUGUGUUGUGAAAAUACAGCCCCAGGUUCUCCAGAGCAGAAGAGUGUUAGCUUUCAUAUGCAGUAAUUGAUUACAAAAUACUUCACCCCCUUCUCCAGGAGAAACUGAGCUGCUGCUAAUUAUGGAGAUUACAUCAAGAAAGAUGAGCUAAAGGGAGGGAAGACAGGAUUUCAAUUUUAGAAAGACUGAAAAAUCAGAGGCCUCACAAGAGAAAUCUGAACAAACAGGUGGGAGACAGAAGCAGCAAACCUACUGCUCUAAACUGAUAAGCCCAGCAGAAAGUCAGUGGGAUUUAAUCUGCUCCUAUCAUUCUUCAUUUUUUUUACACAAUUAAACUCUAUAUUGCAAUGGAAGUUUUUGUCAGAUGUCUGAAAAGUCUACCUGCAUUGCAACUGCAUAAAGAGUUUAAUAAAAAUUAGUGAAUAAACAAAGUAAUU